GAUGAACGCUGGCGGCGUGCCUAAUACAUGCAAGUCGAACGAAGAUCUUGCUUGCUAGAUCCUAGUGGCGAACGGGUGAGUAAUACAUAAAUAAUCUGCCCAUAUGACUGGGCUAACUAUUGGAAACGAUAGCUAAUACCGGAUAGGUUGAUCGGAGGCAUCUCUGAUGAAUUAAAGUAGGAUUUCUACACAAAUGGAUGAGUUUAUGGCGCAUUAGUUAGUUGGUGGGGUAACGGCCUACCAAGACGAUGAUGCGUAGCCGACCUGAGAGGGUGACCGGCCACACUGGGACUGAGACGCGGCCCAGACUCCUACGGGAGGCAGCAGUAGGGAAUUUUCGGCAAUGGGCGCAAGCCUGACCGAGCAACGCCGCGUGAGUGAUUAAGGCCUUCGGGUUGUAAAGCUCUGUUGUAAGGGAAGAACAUUCAGGAUAGGAAAUGAUCUUGAACUGACGGUACCUUACCAGAAAGCCACGGCUAACUACGUGCCAGCAGCCGCGGUAA
Molecule: ribosomal RNA, 503 nt
Filed under: uncultured bacterium
Lineage: Bacteria
Description: partial 16S ribosomal RNA
Rfam family: Bacterial small subunit ribosomal RNA
Source: RNAcentral